Nematostella vectensis (starlet sea anemone) is the source of this 68-nucleotide non-coding RNA. The record is from Rfam. Lineage: Eukaryota; Metazoa; Cnidaria; Anthozoa; Actiniaria; Edwardsiidae.
GUUGGUGGUACAGUGGUUAGCAUAGCUGCCUUCCAAGCAGUUGACCCUAGUUCGAAUCCCCACCAACA